UGGGGAAUAUUGCACAAUGGAGGAAACUCUGAUGCAGCGACGCCGCGUGAGUGAAGAAGGUCUUCGGAUCGUAAAACUCUGUCCUUGGUGACGAAAAAAAUGACGGUAGCCAAGGAGGAAGCCCCGGCUAACUACGUGCCAGCAGCCGCGGUAAUACGUAGGGGGCGAGCGUUGUCCGGAUUUACUGGGCGUAAGGGUGAGUAGGCGGUAAUAUGUGUCAGAUGUAAAAGGCUAUGGCUUAACCAUAGUUGGCAUUUGAAACUGUAUUACUUGAGUGCAGGAGAGGUAAGUGGAAUUCCUAGUGUAGCGGUGAAAUGCGUAGAUAUUAGGAGGAACACCAGUGGCGAAGGCGACUUACUGGACUGUAACUGACGCUGAGUCACGAAAGCGUGGGUAGCAAACA
This 403-nucleotide ribosomal RNA is filed under the name uncultured bacterium. Its description in RNAcentral is "bacterial SSU rRNA". It matches the Rfam family "Bacterial small subunit ribosomal RNA", at positions 355 to 774 of the family's 1533-position model. The record is from RNAcentral.